RNAcentral lists this ribosomal RNA (464 nucleotides) under uncultured Klebsiella sp. Its description in RNAcentral is "bacterial SSU rRNA". It matches the Rfam family "Bacterial small subunit ribosomal RNA", at positions 339 to 795 of the family's 1533-position model. Lineage: Bacteria; Pseudomonadati; Pseudomonadota; Gammaproteobacteria; Enterobacterales; Enterobacteriaceae. The record is from RNAcentral.
CUACGGGAGGCUGCAGUGGGGAAUAUUGCACAAUGGGCGCAAGCCUGAUGCAGCCAUGCCGCGUGUGUGAAGAAGGCCUCCGGGUUGUAAAGCACUUUCAGCGGGGAGGAAGGCGGUGAGGUUAAUAACCUCAUCGAUUGACGUUACCCGCAGAAGAAGCACCGGCUAACUCCGUGCCAGCAGCCGCGGUAAUACGGAGGGUGCAAGCGUUAAUCGGAAUUACUGGGCGUAAAGCGCACGCAGGCGGUCUGUCAAGUCGGAUGUGAAAUCCCCGGGCUCAACCUGGGAACUGCAUUCGAAACUGGCAGGCUAGAGUCUUGUAGAGGGGGGUAGAAUUCCAGGUGUAGCGGUGAAAUGCGUAGAGAUCUGGAGGAAUACCGGUGGCGAAGGCGGCCCCCUGGACAAAGACUGACGCUCAGGUGCGAAAGCGUGGGGAGCAAACAGGAUUAGAUACCCCGGUAGUC